Molecule: long non-coding RNA, 236 nt
Filed under: Mustela putorius furo (domestic ferret)
Lineage: Eukaryota; Metazoa; Chordata; Mammalia; Carnivora; Mustelidae
Description: lncRNA (ENSMPUG00000027721.1)
Source: RNAcentral
GCCGUGCCCCACCCAGUUCCCGCAGCUGCGGGAACCCGCGCCCCUCCCCUCCCCGGCGGCCCGCCAGCCCACCCCGCAGAGGGCUGCAGGCCCGGACGGCUUUCCUGACUCUGCCCGCCGCGCCUGAUCCAACAGAUUCAAUUCCAGCAUUUCUUGAACAAGAGUAGAAGGUAAGAGUCAAAGCAAUUCCUCCCCAAUAGUCUUCAGAUCCUGUCAGAAUCUAGCCAGAGACACUA